UUUGACCUCAAAUCAGGUAGGGC
Molecule: ribosomal RNA, 23 nt
Filed under: Papiliotrema aurea
Lineage: Eukaryota; Fungi; Basidiomycota; Tremellomycetes; Tremellales; Rhynchogastremaceae
Description: partial 26S rRNA
Source: RNAcentral